ACGAACGCUGGCGGCGUGCUUAACACAUGCAAGUCGCACGGAAAGGCCUCUUUCGGGGGGUACUCGAGUGGCGAACGGGUGAGUAACACGUGAGUAACCUGCCCUUGACUUUGGGAUAACUUCAGGAAACUGGGGCUAAUACCGGAUAGGAGCUCCUGCUGCAUGGUGGGGGUUGGAAAGUUUCGGCGGUUGGGGAUGGACUCGCGGCUUAUCAGCUUGUUGGUGGGGUAGUGGCUUACCAAGGCUUUGACGGGUAGCCGGCCUGAAAGGGUGACCGGCCACAUUGGGACUGAGAUACGGCCCAGACUCCUACGGGAGGCAGCAGUGGGGAAUAUUGCACAAUGGGUGGAAGCCUGAUGCAGCAACGCCGUGUGCGGGAUGACGGCCUUCGGGUUGUAAACCGCUUUCGCUCAUGACGAAGCUUUGUGUGACGGUAGUGGGUAAAGAAGCACCGGCUAACUACGUG
Molecule: ribosomal RNA, 466 nt
Filed under: uncultured bacterium
Lineage: Bacteria
Description: partial 16S ribosomal RNA
Rfam family: Bacterial small subunit ribosomal RNA
Source: RNAcentral